Molecule: non-coding RNA, 119 nt
Organism: Pteropus alecto (black flying fox)
Lineage: Eukaryota; Metazoa; Chordata; Mammalia; Chiroptera; Pteropodidae
Source: Rfam
GUCUACGGCCAUGCUACCCUGAAAAAGCCCGAUCCCGUCUGAUCUCGGAAGCUAAGCAGGGUCAGGCCUGGUUAGUACUUGGAUGGGAGACCACUUAGGAAGACCAGAUGCUGUAGGCG